GACGAACGCUGGCGGCGUGCUUAACACAUGCAAGUCGAACGGCAGCACGGGUGCUUGCACCUGGUGGCGAGUGGCGAACGGGUGAGUAAUAUAUCGGAACGUACCUUAUUGUGGGGGAUAACGCAGCGAAAGCUGUGCUAAUACCGCAUAAUCCCUAAGGGGGAAAGCGGGGGACCGUAAGGCCUCGCGCAAUUAGAGCGGCCGAUACCUGAUUAGCUAGUUGGUGAGGUAAAGGCUCACCAAGGCAACGAUCAGUAGCUGGUCUGAGAGGACGAUCAGCCACACUGGGACUGAGACACGGACCAGACUCCUACGGGAGGCAGCAGUGGGGAAUUUUGGACAAUGGGGGCAACCCUGAUCCAGCAAUGCCGCGUGAGUGAAGAAGGCCUUCGGGUUGUAAAGCUCUUUCGUCAGGGAAGAAACAGCAGCUCUAACACAGUAUGCGAAUGACGGUACCUGAAGAAUAAGCACCGGCUAACUACGUGCCAGCCGCCGCAGUAA
This 501-nucleotide ribosomal RNA is filed under the name uncultured bacterium. RNAcentral describes it as "partial 16S ribosomal RNA". It matches the Rfam family "Bacterial small subunit ribosomal RNA", at positions 28 to 523 of the family's 1533-position model. The record is from RNAcentral.